This is a non-coding RNA of Schistosoma curassoni, 46 nucleotides long. NCBI's taxonomy places the organism in Eukaryota, Metazoa, Platyhelminthes, Trematoda, Strigeidida, Schistosomatidae. The record is from Rfam.
GCACUGCUGAGGAGUCCCAUACUUGAACGAAACAGCCGUCCAGUGC